CGGACGGGUGAGUAAUGUCUGGGAAACUGCCUGAUGGAGGGGGAUAACUACUGGAAACGGUAGCUAAUACCGCAUAACGUCUUCGGACCAAAGUGGGGGACCUUCGGGCCUCACGCCAUCGGAUGUGCCCAGAUGGGAUUAGCUAGUAGGUGGGGUGAUGGCUCACCUAGGCGACGAUCCCUAGCUGGUCUGAGAGGAUGACCAGCCACACUGGAACUGAGACACGGUCCAG
RNAcentral lists this ribosomal RNA (232 nucleotides) under uncultured bacterium. RNAcentral describes it as "partial 16S ribosomal RNA". It matches the Rfam family "Bacterial small subunit ribosomal RNA", at positions 99 to 334 of the family's 1533-position model. The record is from RNAcentral.